This 551-nucleotide ribosomal RNA is filed under the name uncultured eukaryote. RNAcentral describes it as "SSU rRNA". It matches the Rfam family "Eukaryotic small subunit ribosomal RNA", at positions 20 to 575 of the family's 1831-position model. The record is from RNAcentral.
GUAGUCAUAUGCUUGUCUCAAAGAUUAAGCCAUGCAUGUCUAAGUAUAAGCAAUUAUACGGCGAAACUGCGAAUGGCUCAUUAUAUAAGUUAUCGUUUAUUUGAUAGUACUUUCCUACUUGGAUAACCGUGGUAAUUCUAGAGCUAAUACAUGCUAAAAAUCCCGACUUCGGAAGGGAUGUAUUUAUUAGAUUAAAAACCAAUGCCCUUCGGGGCUCACUGGUGAUUCAUGAUAACUUCACGGAUCGCGCGGCCUUGCGCCGGCGAUGGUUCAUUCAAAUUUCUUCCCUAUCAACUUUCGAUGUUUGGGUCUUGGCCAAACAUGGUUGCAACGGGUAACGGAGGGUUAGGGCUCGACCCCGGAGAAGGAGCCUGAGAAACGGCUACUACAUCCAAGGAAGGCAGCAGGCGCGCAAAUUACCCAAUUCCGAUACGGGGAGGUAGUGACAAUAAAUACUGAUACAGGGCUCUUUUGGGUCCUGUAAUUGGAAUGAGUACAAUUUAAAUCCCUUAACGAGGAACAAUUGGAGGGCAAGUCUGGUGCCAGCAGCC